AACAUACUCCCUCCGUCCGAAAAAGCUUGUCCCAAGCUUGUCCCUCAAAUGGAUGUAUCUAGCACUAACUUGGUGCUAGAUACAUUCAUUUGAGGGGCAAGCUUUUUUGGACGGAGGGAGUACUGC
Molecule: non-coding RNA, 126 nt
Organism: Triticum aestivum (bread wheat)
Lineage: Eukaryota; Viridiplantae; Streptophyta; Magnoliopsida; Poales; Poaceae
Source: Rfam